RNAcentral lists this ribosomal RNA (900 nucleotides) under uncultured archaeon. RNAcentral describes it as "bacterial SSU rRNA". It matches the Rfam family "Archaeal small subunit ribosomal RNA", at positions 1 to 862 of the family's 1478-position model. The record is from RNAcentral.
GAAUUCGCCCUUUUCCGGUUGAUCCUGCCGGACCCUACUGCUAUCGGGAUGGGACUAAGACAUGCUAGUCGUGCGCCUCCAAGCCAUGGUGGAGGCGCGGCGCACAGCUCAGUAACACGUGGUUAACCUGCCCUUGGGACGGAAACACCCCCGGGAAACUGGGGCUAAUUUCCGAUAGGUGAAGGCUCCUGGAAUGGAUCUUCGCCUAAAGGGCGCUUAGGCCAUGCUUCUAGGCGCUGCCCAAGGAUGGGGCCGCGGCCGAUCAGGUUGUUGGUGAGGUAAUGGCUCACCAAGCCUUUAACCGGUUCGGGCCGUGGGAGCGGGGAGCCCGGAGAUGGGCACUGAGACAAGGGCCCAGGCCCCUACGGGGCGCAGCAGUCGCGAAAAACUCCGCAAUACGCGAAGGCGUGACGGGGCUAUCCCGAGUGCCGUCCGCUGAGGAUGGCUUUUCCCCAGUGUAGAUAGCUGGGGGAAUGAGGAGAGGGCAAGUCUGGUGUCAGCCGCCGCGGUAAUACCAGCUCUCCGAGUGGUGGGGACGUUUAUUGGGCCUGAAGCAUCCGUAGCCAGCUGAGCAAGUCCCCAGUUAAAUCCAGCGAUUUAAUCGUUGGACUGCUGGGGAUACUGUCCGGCUAGGGGGUGGGAGAGGCCGACGGUAUUCCCGGGGUAGGGGUGAAAUCCUAUAAUCCCGGGAGGACCACCAGUGGCGAAGGCUGUUGGCUAAAACAUGCCCGACGGUGAGGGAUGAAAGCUGGGGGAGCGAACCGGAUUAGAUACCCGGGUAGUCCCAGCUGUAAACGAUGCAGGCUAGGUGUUAGGGCGGCCACGUGCCGCUCUAGUGCCGCAGGGAAGCUGUUAAGCCUGCCGCCUGGGGAGUACGGUCGCAAGGCUGAAACUUAAAGG